RNAcentral lists this ribosomal RNA (253 nucleotides) under uncultured bacterium. RNAcentral describes it as "partial 16S ribosomal RNA". It matches the Rfam family "Bacterial small subunit ribosomal RNA", at positions 524 to 776 of the family's 1533-position model. The record is from RNAcentral.
GACGUAGGGCGCGAGCGUUGUCCGGAUUUAUUGGGCGUAAAGAGCUCGUAGGCGGUUUGUCGCGUCGUCCGUGAAAACUCACAGCUUAACUGUGAGCUUGCGGUCGAUACGGGCAGGCUAGAGUUCGGUAGGGGAGACUGGAAUUCCUGGUGUAGCGGUGAAAUGCGCAGAUAUCAGGAGGAACACCGGUGGCGAAGGCGGGUCUCUGGGCCGUAACUGACGCUGAGGAGCGAAAGCAUGGGUAGCGAACAGG